UUUGAUAUGGAUACUGUUACCACUCCUAAUUCAGAAGAAACUGAAAAUUACAGGGGGACAUUAUAAACAUCUGGCAAUGCAGAGCAACUUGGUGUCAAAAUGAAAUUGCAUUCCUUCAAGAGAUGAAGAGCUUUAUAACAUUAACGAAAGUGAUGUUGGAGAACUGCUCCAAUCUCAUGUACAGUCAUGUGUCAAGACACUAGGUAAAAGCUGAAGAAGAAAAAAUAGGUCAAAAUGCCUCUCAGGACCUCAAAAGUGGAAGCAGCCAGAAACACAGGAUGAUUCCUUUACUUUCCAAUCCUUUGAAUGAGACAGUGAUGUCUGUAUUCUUACUCUUAUCAGGCAAGCACUAAUACUAAUGCUUCAUGUCUGCAAGGGCAGAGCGCUCCCACAUACAUCUCAUAUGGUCCUUACUGCCACCUGGGAGCUGGCAGAGAAACAGGUGAGCAGGACGCUCAGACUCAGCUGAGUAAGUUGUCUCACGACCCCAGGCUCAAAGCAGCAGUGCUGUAACUGGAACUAACACCUUUAGGCUUGGGAAAAGGCAGGGCUCUCUUCUCUUUACCACUGUCUCCUGGC
Long non-coding RNA from Camelus dromedarius (Arabian camel), 579 nucleotides. RefSeq lists it as uncharacterized. The record is from RefSeq and is a predicted model, not a curated record. Lineage: Eukaryota; Metazoa; Chordata; Mammalia; Artiodactyla; Camelidae. The transcript is spliced from 3 exons.